Molecule: long non-coding RNA, 1666 nt
Filed under: Felis catus (domestic cat)
Lineage: Eukaryota; Metazoa; Chordata; Mammalia; Carnivora; Felidae
Description: lncRNA (ENSFCAG00000044491.2)
Source: RNAcentral
GUCUUGGCCACACCCCUUCAGAGGAUGCGCGUCACAUACAAGUCCUCUCCGCCACGGCAGCCCCUAAACGAUGUGAGGAGCAGGAGUGCGUUUGUCGAGCGGCACCCGGCAAACAAACGCUGUGGGGACCUGGCCAGGGAAUCGGACGCAAAGCUGUAAACAUGUGCCUGUCACGGAAGGGGCUCUAGGACCGCAGGACCCCUGUCGGCAGCCGGCACAGAAGCACACCGCAGACUGGCGUGGAGAAGAGACCCGGGGAAGCAGAGGCCGCUGCUCGGACAUACCAUUGUGUUUUCUGUGGAGAAGAAAGAGGUGGGACACCUCUGUUUGGCCCUGGGCACAGCAAAUACGAAAAGAGGAAGAAGCAGAGACACCAUCUCUCUGUUCUUUACGGCCACCUCUUGUAGGGCUGAGGGGCAAGGACGCCCCGUCACACCCUGGCUGGCUGCCGCAAGGGCCCGAGGGGGGACUGGAGCAUCAUGUGCAGAAGGAAGCCCGUGGCUGGUGCUCAGGUGGCCUCGUACUCAGAGAUGGAGGGACCGCGUGCUGGAAUCGUACGGUCCCCUCCUCACCGCCUCUGCCCCUGCUGCCCAGCCAGAGGAGACGAAUGCACGUGCAGAAACCCUUCCUGGCCAGCACCCUGCCGCCGGGGUUCUCACGGCCCCAGCCAGCUGCUGAGUGCACAGCACGCCAUCUUCAGUUCCACACCACGUGGAAACCGUCACCUCCACGAGACUCCAGACACCACGCCAAGCAAAGAGGAAGCCUGCGUUUUCCAUGCAGGGCCGUGGACGUCCUACUCUCCAAACCCAUCAGCGGCACGGGCCACUCCCGAUAUUUUCGUGCAAACGCAGCCUGUGCAGCCCAUGUCCUGAAAACAAGAGUGCCCACUCCCCAAAAGGCACAGGUAAAUUUGUAUACACUCUUUUUUUUUUUUAAUGUUUAUUUCUUUCUGAGAGAGCAUGAGCGGGGAAGGGGCAGAGAGAGAGGCAGGCACAGAAUCCGAAGCAGGCUCCAGGCUCCGAGCUGUCAGCACACAGCCCGACGCGGGGCUCAAACCCACAAACCUCGAGAUCGCUACCUGAGCUGAAGUCGGACGCUUAACCAGCUGAGCCACCCGGGCGCCCCCACUCUUUUAGAUGAAAAAAGUGUUUUACAAAAAGUAACUGCAAAUAUUGGCUUUUUCACUUUGAACUAUUGUGCAGGCAACAAGCCGCCUUUCUCAAGGAGAUUCGUCAACGGAGAUGACAUGAAAACAUCAGCUUGGAAUGAUCUGCCCUGGGAAGGGACACGGGCCUCACUUCCCAGGAGGGGGACAGACAACCAGAGAAGUCAGCUCAGAGAGGACACCCCUCCUGCCUUGAGAAGCACCAACAGGCAGCACAGAAAGGCCACGGGGAUCUCUCCAGGAGGCCAGCCUCGCACAGGGCUGCCCCGCCGAGAACAAGCAUAUGACCCCGGCACCCAGUAUUGGGCCCAUUUUGGGUGCGAUUCCGUGUGCCACAGCAGAGCUCUUCGACAGAAAGUGAGCUUCUGAGAACACAGGGAAGCCGGUGGCCAAGGACUAGAAACGGGAAGGGAGACCCCACAGAUACCCGGGGUGCCGGCACGUCAGGAACCCGGGAUGACGCGUACCUGCGUGGAAUAAACGUGGCCACCUGUGCCA